This is a long non-coding RNA of Medicago truncatula (barrel medic), 997 nucleotides long. RefSeq lists it as uncharacterized. The record is from RefSeq and is a predicted model, not a curated record. Lineage: Eukaryota; Viridiplantae; Streptophyta; Magnoliopsida; Fabales; Fabaceae. The transcript has 2 exons.
UAUAAAGAUAUUUAAAUCUGUUUCUUGCUAUCUCUUAAGUCUGGAAGGUUGGACUAGAGAGUUAUGGUCAGGGUUAUUAGAAUGUGGCCUGUUGAGAGCUGUUUUUUUCGUGGCAGAGUUGAUAGCAUUGAACUAAUCCUUCUUAACAUUGAUGAUAACAAGAUGUAGGCGAUGAUUCCCUCCGAUUGUCUUGAACAUUUAAGCCAUAUAUUUGUUGAGCAUUCAAUUUAUGUCAUCACUACCUUUCAUGUCAUGGAGAGUAUGAGUGGUUAAAUAGCCGGGUUCCACUUGUGUAACAUUGGGUAUUUUAAGUUAUAUAACAUUGUUCAAUCAGGGUGUGCCAUGCGGCACACCCUUUUUUCUAUAAAAAAAACUCAAUUAAAGGAGAAUAAGAGAACACGUGACUCAGAGAACAAGUGAAAACUCAAAAACGCAGUCCUAUUCUCUUCUCCCCUACGACAUCAGAACCCACCACCCACCAUCACUUUUCUCCGCCACCGCCGACACCUCCCUCCGUCGCCAUCCUCCUCUCCACCAUCGACCACCGUUCCUCUUCACUUUCUCUCCUGCGACACUCUUUUUCAAAUUUGAUGAAUUUGAUUUGGAAUUAAUUUUGAGAUUCAUUAAGGGAUUCAUUGAGGGUUGUUAUUGUAGAGAUCAGUAGACUAAUAACAACAAAUAUCCUUUCAGUUGUCUCUUGAGAGGUGGGUUGAUUUGUGAUUAUUUGAAUUUUGACAAAAAUAGUGAAAAGAGGGUUACAAUGAUGUUGCAGAGAAUUGCUAUUAUUAGUAUGCUAUGGUGAAAUUGAAAAUAUGUGAAUCUGAACAUCUGUUAUGAAAACGCAUAAGCGGAAAAAACGCAAUAUACUGCUAUUAGUCUGCUAAAUCUGUGAAACUGAGCAUCUGUUAUGAACAAUGCUCUUUAUGGCUUGAAGCAUGUACCUAUAUCUUGUAAUAAUAUAAUAUACUCCUUUCUAAUGAAUCUGCAGUUUAACAAA